RNAcentral lists this ribosomal RNA (253 nucleotides) under uncultured bacterium. RNAcentral describes it as "partial 16S ribosomal RNA". It matches the Rfam family "Bacterial small subunit ribosomal RNA", at positions 524 to 776 of the family's 1533-position model. The record is from RNAcentral.
UACGGGGGGGGCAAGCGUUGUUCGGAAUUACUGGGCGUAAAGAGCGCGCAGGCGGUCGUGCAAGUCGCGUGUGAAAGCCCCCGGCUCAACUGGGGAGGGUCACGCGAUACUGCUCGACUCGAAGGCAGGAGAGGGAAGUGGAAUUCCCGGUGUAGUGGUGAAAUGCGUAGAUAUCGGGAGGAACACCAGUGGCGAAGGCGACUACCUGGCCUGUUCUUGACGCUGAGGCGCGAAAGCUAGGGGAGCAAACGGG